AUCAGCAUUACAUAGAGAGCUUGUUAAAACGUGGAUUCUUGAGCCUCACUCACAGAAUUUCUGAUUCAGUAGGUAUAGGGUAAGGCUAAAGAAUUUACAAGUCUAACAGAUUCCCAGGUGAUGCUAAU
This 128-nucleotide microRNA precursor is filed under the name Marmota monax (woodchuck). Lineage: Eukaryota; Metazoa; Chordata; Mammalia; Rodentia; Sciuridae. The record is from RNAcentral.